CAAUCACAUGAUAGAGAGUAUAAAUGACAAGUCAAAUCUCAAGCAAAACUGAGGUGAGAUAGCACUAAAUUAACUAUAUUAUUCACAGCCAAAUAAUUAUAAAGGUUAUAUGGGUUUAAAAUAAUAAUAAAAUCUAACAAUAGCUAAGCAUUACCAGGACGGCUAUCAUUUAUAAUUGUGCUGUACAUAAAGCAUGGUUUCAGGUAAUAUUAUGUAUAUAUACAGUACCUUUAUAUUACCUAUUACUGUUAUAUUUAUUAAGGUCAAAUACUAUAGUUUCUAGACUUAAAGUGACAUUGAAUGGUCGGUAAGUAAGUGGAGAUAGGAUUUAUAUUUGGACAAGAGUGAUUGUAACUGCUUUAAUAAACAGUACACAAGUACUAGUAACUUAUAAUCAGAAUAUUUGUCUAUGAUUGUACCGGUAAAUGGACAAUUGGUCCCUGUUAAAUAAACAAGCGCUGCCUACCUAAUGA
Cinara cedri is the source of this 473-nucleotide non-coding RNA. Lineage: Eukaryota; Metazoa; Arthropoda; Insecta; Hemiptera; Aphididae. The record is from the annotation of a GenBank genome assembly.